RNAcentral lists this long non-coding RNA (1217 nucleotides) under Helianthus annuus (common sunflower). RNAcentral's name for it is "hypothetical non coding rna". The record is from RNAcentral. Lineage: Eukaryota; Viridiplantae; Streptophyta; Magnoliopsida; Asterales; Asteraceae.
UUUUCUUUGGUAUUUAGAAGUACAUACACUUUCCAAAAACUUCAGUUCAAGAUAAUAAAGAAAUGCUAAAUUUAUUUUUCCAUAAAAAAACCAAGAUAUUGAUACUCCAGUAUGAGUAAAACAAUAAUUCAAUUAGGCGUUUUCAUUGGCAAUCACUUCACAUAAAAAUGGGGUCCCUUGAGGGGAAUAAAAAACUUUACAUUACCCUAAAAUGAUUGCAUCUAGGUUUUUAACUACACGUACAAGUUAAAACUAAAAAAAUAAGUUGCCAAACAACAGCCAAACACAGUUUCAUCAUACUUUUAGGUCAAGAACAUGAACUGCAGGUGCUCAUAAAUCAACAGAUUAUGGAUCAAAUAUUGCACCUCCUGCGUUCAUCUUCUCAUCCUACUGAGAUUUAGAUGAAAAAAUUUGGUAAAAGCCGUGCGGAAGACAGAUUACUUUCGUUACGAGGCGGUGAUAUUCGAAAAAAAAAACUAAUACCUCUUUGCUUUGUACACGACACGUGUCUAGUUUUUAGGGAGUAAAAAGCAAAGAAGGAGCCUAAUAGUUAUCCCCGUGUACUUAAUUUUAUUUAUAAGUAGCGGUAUAACCCAAAUUACCCGUGGUUGAAAUCAUUUGCCAAUGAAUUUCUCUAGUUAUGUAAUUGACAAUUUCUGUAGGUAUAAGUUAAGAAUCUAAGACCAAAAUCCAUCACUCUCUAAAAAAUUCCUUAUAUCAAUAAUCAUUUACAUUUCUCUAGGAAAUCACAUAAUUCAAUAAUGAAUUGUCAACACGAGCAAGUCAAGUAACGAAACGAUCCUAAUCAAAACCUAAAAAAAUGAACCAAUUCCACAACUUACAUUCAUACCAGAUCGCAAACAUAUAACAAUUCACACUUUCUUUGUGCAUACUACAACGUUCGAUCGCAUACUAAACAUGGAUCAUACUAACCUCUAAAACUUCAUAAUUUCCAAAGACAUCCAAACUUUCAAAAAGAGUGCUUGGAUUUCUUCUUUCUUUUGCUAACUUCAGAAUUCGUUUUCAAGAACAAUUCAUCUAUUAUCUGUCAACUAAUUUGAGUUUGUUGACAGCAAAGUGUCAAGUUCGCAAAAAAAAAAAAAAAAAAAAAAAAAAAAAAAAAAAAAAAAAAAACCUUCUACUUAAAACUGUUGAAACUCAUUAAAAAACAAAGAAUGAGCAAAAAAAUCAUUGAAAAACAGAUUGACAUGGUGUGA